AACGAACGCUGGCGGCAGGCCUAACACAUGCAAGUCGAACGCUGUAGCAAUACAGAGUGGCAGACGGGUGAGUAACACGUGGGAACGUACCCUUCGGUUCGGAAUAACUCAGGGAAACUUGAGCUAAUACCGGAUACGUCCGAGAGGAGAAAGAUUUAUCGCCGAAGGAUCGGCCCGCGUCUGAUUAGCUUGUUGGUGAGGUAACGGCUCACCAAGGCGACGAUCAGUAGCUGGUCUGAGAGGAUGAUCAGCCACAUUGGGACUGAGACACGGCCCAAACUCCUACGGGAGGCAGCAGUGGGGAAUAUUGGACAAUGGGCGCAAGCCUGAUCCAGCCAUGCCGCGUGAGUGAUGAAGGCCCUAGGGUUGUAAAGCUCUUUUACUCGGGAAGAUAAUGACGGUACCGAGAGAAUAAGCCCCGGCUAACUUCGUG
This 433-nucleotide ribosomal RNA is filed under the name uncultured bacterium. RNAcentral describes it as "bacterial SSU rRNA". It matches the Rfam family "Bacterial small subunit ribosomal RNA", at positions 29 to 507 of the family's 1533-position model. The record is from RNAcentral.